CUUUAGCUAUGUGAAAGCCUUCGGCUCAACCGAAGAAGUGCAUUGGAAACUGGGAGACUUGAGUGCAGAAGAGGACAGUGGAACUCCAUGUGUAGCGGUGAAAUGCGUAGAUAUAUGGAAGAACACCAGUGGCGAAGGCGGCUGUCUGGUCUGCAACUGACGCUGAGGCUCGAAAGCAUGGGUAGCGAACAGGAUUAGAUACCCUGGUAGUCCAUGCCGUAAACGAUGAUUACUAAGUGUUGGAGGGUUUCCGCCCUUCAGUGCUGCAGCUAACGCAUUAAGUAAUCCGCCUGGGGAGUACGACCGCAAGGUUGAAACUCAAAAGAAUUGACGGGGGCCCGCACAAGCGGUGGAGCAUGUGGUUUAAUUCGAAGCUACGCGAAGAACCUUACCAGGUCUUGACAUCUUCUGACAGUCUAAGAGAUUAGAGGUUCCCUUCGGGGACAGAAUGACAGGUGGUGCAUGGUUGUCGUCAGCUCGUGUCGUGAGAUGUUGGGUUAAGUCCCGCAACGAGCGCAACCCUUAUUACUAGUUGCCAGCAUUAAGUUGGGCACUCUAGUGAGACUGCCGGUGACAAACCGGAGGAAGGUGGGGACGACGUCAAAUCAUCAUGCCCCUUAUGACCUGG
Molecule: ribosomal RNA, 628 nt
Filed under: Pediococcus sp. YCO-09
Lineage: Bacteria; Bacillati; Bacillota; Bacilli; Lactobacillales; Lactobacillaceae
Description: bacterial SSU rRNA
Rfam family: Bacterial small subunit ribosomal RNA
Source: RNAcentral